This 314-nucleotide unclassified non-coding RNA is filed under the name plant metagenome. Its description in RNAcentral is "partial contains 5.8S ribosomal RNA, internal transcribed spacer 2, and large subunit ribosomal RNA". The stretch from base 1 to 105 matches the Rfam family "5.8S ribosomal RNA", at positions 50 to 154 of the family's 154-position model. The record is from RNAcentral.
GAAAUGCGAUAAUUAAUGUGAAUUGCAGAAUUCAGUGAAUCAUCGAGUCUUUGAACGCACAUUGCGCCCCCUGGUAUUCCGGGGGGCAUGCCUGUCCGAGCGUCAUUGCUGCCCUCAAGCACGGCUUGUGUGUUGGGCUUCCGUCCCUGGCAACGGGGACGGGGCCAAAAGGCAGUGGCGGCACCAUGUCUGGUCCUCGAGCGUAUGGGGCUUUGUCACCCGCUCCCGUAGGUCCAGCUGGCAGCUAGCCUCGCAACCAAUCUUUUUAACCAGGUUGACCUCGGAUCAGGUAGGGAUACCCGCUGAACUUAAGC